ACGGAGGGUGCAAGCGUUAUCCGGAUUCACUGGGUUUAAAGGGUGCGUAGGUGGAUCAAUAAGUCAGUGGUGAAAUCUUCGAGCUUAACUCGGAAAUUGCCAUUGAUACUGUAGGGCUUGAGUAUAGUUGCCGUUGGCGGAAUAUGACAUGUAGUGGUGAAAUACAUAGAAAUGUCAUAGAACACCGAUUGCGAAGGCAGCUAACGAAACUAUAACUGACACUGAGGCUCGAAAGUGCGGGGAUCAAACAGGA
RNAcentral lists this ribosomal RNA (253 nucleotides) under uncultured prokaryote. RNAcentral describes it as "partial 16S ribosomal RNA". It matches the Rfam family "Bacterial small subunit ribosomal RNA", at positions 525 to 777 of the family's 1533-position model. The record is from RNAcentral.